CCUACGGGUGGCAGCAGUGGGGAAUAUUGCACAAUGGGGGAAACCCUGAUGCAGCGACGCCGCGUGAGUGAAGAAGUAUUUCGGUAUGUAAAGCUCUAUCAGCAGGGAAGAAAAUGACCGUACCUGAUUAAGAAGCCCCGGAUAACUACGUGCCAGGAGCCGCGGUAAUACGUAGGGGGCAAGCGUUAUCCGGAUUUACUGGGUGUAAAGGGAGCGUAGACGGGAGGAUAAGUCUGGAGGGAAAUGCCGGGGCUUAACCCCGGAACUGCUUUGGAAACUGUGCAGCUAGAGUGCAGGAGAGGUAAGCGGAAUGCCUGGUGUAGCGGUGAAAUGCGUAGAUAUUAGGAGGAACACC
This 355-nucleotide ribosomal RNA is filed under the name uncultured bacterium. Its description in RNAcentral is "partial 16S ribosomal RNA". It matches the Rfam family "Bacterial small subunit ribosomal RNA", at positions 338 to 710 of the family's 1533-position model. The record is from RNAcentral.